Long non-coding RNA from Physeter macrocephalus (sperm whale), 623 nucleotides. RefSeq lists it as uncharacterized. The transcript has 6 exons. NCBI's taxonomy places the organism in Eukaryota, Metazoa, Chordata, Mammalia, Artiodactyla, Physeteridae. The record is from RefSeq and is a predicted model, not a curated record.
GCGCUGUUGUCAUGGUAACCAAUACCCGCCUCUUUGCCUGGGAGCUUGCUUGCGGCCUGUUUCUUCAGGCCUUCAGACUUGGGUCUUGGACUGGAACCACACCACCGGCUUUCCUGGACUUCCAGCUUGCAGAGGGACUUCUCAGCCUCCAAAAUCGAGCCCCUUGCAAAUGAAAGUCUAAAGAGCUCUACAAUGAUUUAUGAAGAAACUCAAAGACACACAAUUUAUAGGAAGAACAUUUCUGAGAAUAAGAACUUCUUGGAAAAAUAAUUGCAGCAUCAAAGAAUGCUCUGGAGGAAACAAGUCCUAGACACAAAUUCCAGUUUGCAGCCUACAUUCCCUCAGUCUUACGUCUCAUUUUGGGCCAUUAAUUAGACAGUGGAAAAGAGAUCAUAACAGUAAAUUGUUUCAUUGGAAUGGUUACUACAAGAGACAGAUACUCUUCUUGGCCUGAGUUCACUGAGUCCAUCUUAGGAGAGGAUGGGGAUAGGAGAAAUAAAGCCAUGUUAGGUGAAGAGGCUGCCAUAAAGAAGAAUAAUGCUCGGAAUGCACCUAACUAUGCUGGCCUGGACAGAUUUCUUCCUAGAUUGAAGAACUAUUAUGAAUGAUCUUUGAGUAAGAGA